GGUACUAGCUCAAUGGUAGAGUGCAUGCCUAGCAUGCAUGAGGUCCCAGGUUCAAUUCCCAAUACCU
This 67-nucleotide transfer RNA is filed under the name Camelus bactrianus (Bactrian camel). It matches the Rfam family "tRNA". Rfam says of the family: Transfer RNA (tRNA) molecules are approximately 80 nucleotides in length. Their secondary structure includes four short double-helical elements and three loops (D, anti-codon, and T loops). Lineage: Eukaryota; Metazoa; Chordata; Mammalia; Artiodactyla; Camelidae. RNAcentral also lists the same sequence under 2 other names. The record is from Rfam by way of RNAcentral.